Molecule: ribosomal RNA, 466 nt
Filed under: uncultured bacterium
Lineage: Bacteria
Description: partial 16S ribosomal RNA
Rfam family: Bacterial small subunit ribosomal RNA
Source: RNAcentral
GAUGAACGCUGGCGGCGUGCUUAACACAUGCAAGUCGAACGGAAAGGCCCAAGCUUGCUUGGGUACUCGAGUGGCGAACGGGUGAGUAACACGUGGGUGAUCUGCCCUGCACUUCGGGAUAAGCCUGGGAAACUGGGUCUAAUACCGGAUAGGACCACAUUUUGGAUGGUGUGGUGGAAAGUUUUUCGGUGUGGGAUGAGCUCGCGGCCUAUCAGCUUGUUGGUGGGGUAAUGGCCUACCAAGGCGUCGACGGGUAGCCGGCCUGGGAGGGUGUACGGCCACAUUGGGACUGGGGUACGGCCCAGACUCCUACGGGAGGCAGCAGUGGGGAAUAUUGCACAAUGGGCGCAAGCCUGAUGCAGCGACGCCGCGUGGGGGAGGACGGCCUUCGGGUUGUAAACUCCUUUCGCUAGGGACGAAGCGUUAUGUGACGGUACCUGGAGAAGAAGCACCGGCUAACUACGUG